RNAcentral lists this long non-coding RNA (3077 nucleotides) under Homo sapiens (human). Its description in RNAcentral is "HSALNT0108350". Lineage: Eukaryota; Metazoa; Chordata; Mammalia; Primates; Hominidae. The record is from RNAcentral.
GUUUCUAGGAAGGAGCUGUCCAGCAAGGGACUGACUAUCCCAGGAGCCUUGCAUCUAGGGACAUGCCAGAGAUGAUGAUGCUCCACAGCACCAGAGUUCAAGCAAAACAGAAUGGUUGAUAUUUUUAUGUCACAUUCCUGAAGUGAGAAACUGAUUGGUCCAGUUGGUCUAUGGUAAAACACAGUAUCAUGAACAUGGACAUAGAGUCUGUCACCCUGCCCACUGUGGCUUCAGGAGUAAGAGAAAGAGCGUGAGUGGUGGAUUACAAAUAUACUUGAAAGGCCAUCUAUUGCAGGGAUUUCUUGCAAUAGUUGUACAUAAUAUUGACUCAUCACCUAGAAUUGUUCUGCCUCUUAUAUAUAUUUUUUAAUUUUUUAAAUUAUUUAAAUUUUUUGUGGGUACAUAGUAAGUGUAUGUAUUUAUGGGGUAUAUGAGAUGUUUUGAUACAGGCAUGCAAUGUGAAAUAAGCACAUCAUGAAGAAUGGGGUAUCUAUUCCCUCAAGCAUUUAUCCUUUGAGUUAUAAACAAUCCAAUUACAUUCUUUAGAUUAUUUUAAAAUAUGUAAUUACAUUAUUAUUUACUAUGAUCACUCUAUUGUGCUAUCAAAUAGUCUUAUUCAAUAUUUCUAUUUUUGUGCCCAUUAACCAUCCCCACCUUCCGCCAACCCCUCACUGGCGCUUAUAUGGUAAUCUUCAGUAUUUCAUCCUAUCACAGCCCGUCUCCCUAGCUUUUUUCACUUCCUAACUAACUACCACUACAAAUAUGCUCUUCAAAUGUAAUAUAUGCUCUUCAUAUAUUAUUUGACACUUCUCCUUCCUCCUUCUUCAUUAUUUUCUUCUACCACACUUCUUGUUCAAACCUACAAAUUGUCACUUCCAUGGUCUAAAAAUUAUACAUGACAACAGCGAGUGGAUUCAAUCAUCAUCUUUCUUUGCUAUACAACAGACUCUGAGCACUACCAGAAAAUGUUCUUAAAGCAAAUGGAUUGUUCAGAGGAUGAAGGUUUUAAAACUUUUAUAUUUUAUGUUCGACAAGAUGACGCUGUGCCUUACCCUUAUUCAUGAUCUUUUCUCAAGCCAAAAACUUUUAGCCUCUUCUUGAAUCUCUGACUCUAGGAAACCACCACUUUGUUACAGGGUGAUCUCUCUUAAACAUAAACCCACUCGUAUCCUUUCUUCGGCUUAAAAUAACUAAGAACUCAUUUCUACACUAAUUCACCAAGUCAAAAGUCCUCAGCAUUUUGUACAAGGCCCUUCAUGGAGUGUCUCCUACUUACCUCCUGACAUGAUACAUCUCCAUAUGCACCUCCUAUUUCAGCCAAACAAGUCACUGAGAGAUCUCAGGAAGCACUAGUCUCUCUCACCGUACUCUGUCUUUGCACUUCACAUUUCAUCGUUUUUGAAUGUCAUCUCUUCCAUCCUGUGUGUGAUGGGCUCCUCCUCACCCCCUCUAUACGGUCCACGUGUAACCUACUCCGAGAAGCCUUGCUGCCUCCCUUCCACUCCCAGACCACACUUACCCUAUUAGAGUUAAGUUAUUUCUCUUUUCUUCCACCUAGAGCUUCCUUUAUUUAUUUCUCUACUCCCUCUCUAGUCCCCAUCCUACAACUAUGCACCCUAGAGUGGAGAAUUUACAUCUCAAAACCUGAAAAAUAACAAUUAUCCCAAUAAUACUCAGCAAAUGUUUAUAGAAUGAAUGGACAGAUGGGCUUAUAAUAUGAAGAACAGGACAUUCAGUUUAGUUAAUUGGGGGCGUUGGAGACAAGUCGGGGUGCCUAUUACUCAGUAUGUAAUAUUCUGCUCUCUGGUUUGGUAAUUUCACUAAAAUCAAUAACCUAAACUCAACAACAAAAAGUCGUAGCCUGCUUCAAAGAGAGGAACAACCUUUCCUCAAGUUUGCUAUUUCAACAAUAAUUUAAGAAAAUCAUCUUUUUACUACCUGUAGGUGUCACAUGGGACUAACAUUGUGGUCUGUACCUUUUGCCUUCCUUCAUUCCCAGUAAGGAAAUAAAGGAGAUAUGCUGACAUUUUGAUAGAGUGGAAAUCAAUACCUAUAUUUCCAGCAUUACCUACGGAGACAGAGAGUUUUCCAGGCUGGCAGGCUUUACUGCAACCUCUGAAGGUGUUAACAUGUUAAGAGAAAGACUAUGUGGACCAGAGGAAGCAGAACCUUACAGAAGCAAAGGGAAAAAGGCAGAUACAAAGGAGAUCGCAGGUCUGUGUUUCACAAGCACCUGGGAUGUUUGUUUGAAAUGUUGAUGACUGGCCCCACCUCCAUCCUAGUAAAUCAGAAUCUCUGGGAAUAGAGUCCACAAAUUUGAAUUUUAGCAAGCUUCUUGGAUCUUUUUUCAGCCCAUUAACUUGUGGAAAUAUUAAUUCAGAUGUGACUUUCCCCAGAGCUGCAGGGGGAAGGGCCUCACUGUGGAGAUGAGCAUGUCAGACUGAGUAAACCCUGAUGCCCUUUAAACUAUCAGAUCACAAGUCUUACUUUCCAUGUUUUGAUUUCAUAUUUACAGCAUACUCUCUGACAAUUUAGUUUCCAUGCAGCUCAACCUACUGGAGGAAAUUGUGCAGGUAAAGCUCAUAUGGAUUUUGAUCCUUUUUACGAUCCUUUUUAUGACGUUUUCAUUGCAAAUUUACCAAUUAUCAAUGGUUGUUCCAUUUAAUAAUGUCUCAUUAGCUUUUUUCCUGUGAAUUGAAACUCCAAGUCUGAUCAAUUAGCUAAUAAUUCUUGAGCUAUAUUGAGCUUGUGAACAUGCAGGGUUGGAGAUGGACCUUGGAUUACCACUGUGUGUGUCUUUCUUAUGGAGCAUUCCUGGCCUCCUGCUGACAUCUUUUCUACCCCACUUCCAACUGUCUCAUCUUCCUCAAAUGCUUAUAAUGAAUUUGUAGUGGCUUUAUCUGAAGAAAUCAAUACUCAUAAAACAUCUACCCAUGUUGUACUAUUUUAUAGAGUCGGGUUAAAAAAUGAUGCUCCUUAAUAAAUUCAAAGACAGAAUCUACCUUCUAUCUUUCCUGUAGGGGUAAGGCCCAGCUCUGAAAGAAUAAUGUUUAACUAGUGGUGAUUUUGCCUGGUGA